This 541-nucleotide ribosomal RNA is filed under the name uncultured fungus. RNAcentral's name for it is "SSU rRNA". It matches the Rfam family "Eukaryotic small subunit ribosomal RNA", at positions 606 to 1161 of the family's 1831-position model. The record is from RNAcentral. Lineage: Eukaryota; Fungi.
AAAGUUGGUUGCAGUUAAAAGCUCGUAGUUGGACCUUGGACCUGGACAGGCGGUCCGCCUCAAGGCGAGUACUGUCUUGCUGGGUCUUUCCUCUUGGUGAUCUGUUGUUUCGGCAGCAGGGAACCAGGACCUUUACUUUGAAAAAAUUAGAGUGUUCAAAGCAGGCUCGACGCCGGAAUAUAUUAGCAUGGAAUAAUAAAAUAGGACGUGCGGUUCUAUUUUGUUGGUUUUUGGAAUCGCCGUAAUGAUUAAUAGGGACAGUCGGGGGCAUUAGUACUCACACGCUAGAGGUGAAAUUCUUGGAUUUUGUGAAGACUAACUUCUGCGAAAGCAUUUGCCAAGGAUGUUUUCAUUAAUCAAGAACGAAGGUUAGGGUAUCGAAAACGAUUAGAUACCGUUGUAGUCUUAACAGUAAACUAUGCCGACUAGGGAUCGGUCGAUAUUAUCUUUUUGACUCCAUCGGCACCUUACGAGAAAUCAAAGUUUUUGGGUUCUGGGGGGAGUAUGGUCGCAAGGCUGAAACUUAAAGAAAUUGACGGAA